UACGUAGGGUGCGAGCGUUGUCCGGAAUUACUGGGCGUAAAGAGCUCGUAGGUGGUUUGUCGCGUCGUCUGUGAAAUUCCGGGGCUUAACCUCGGGCGUGCAGGCGAUACGGGCAAUACUUGAGUGCUGUAGGGGAGACUGGAAUUCCUGGUGUAGCGGUGGAAUGCGCAGAUAUCAGGAGGAACACCGAUGGCGAAGGCAGGUCUCUGGGCAGUAACUGACGCUGAGGAGCGAAAGCCAGGGGAGCAAACGGGAUUAGAUACCCCCGUA
RNAcentral lists this ribosomal RNA (270 nucleotides) under uncultured prokaryote. RNAcentral describes it as "partial 16S ribosomal RNA". It matches the Rfam family "Bacterial small subunit ribosomal RNA", at positions 524 to 792 of the family's 1533-position model. The record is from RNAcentral.